Molecule: ribosomal RNA, 463 nt
Filed under: uncultured Bartonella sp.
Lineage: Bacteria; Pseudomonadati; Pseudomonadota; Alphaproteobacteria; Hyphomicrobiales; Bartonellaceae
Description: bacterial SSU rRNA
Rfam family: Bacterial small subunit ribosomal RNA
Source: RNAcentral
CUUCUAACGGAUUAUUCUUUAUAGCUUGCUAGAACGAACGCUGGCGGCAAGCCUAACACAUGCAAGUCGAGCGCACUCUUUUAGAGUGAGCGGCAAACGGGUGAGUAACGCGUGGGAAUCUACCCAUCUCUACGGAAUAACACAGAGAAAUUUGUGCUAAUGCCGUAUACGUCCUGAGGGAGAAAGAUUUAUCGGAGAUGGAUGAGCCCGCGUUGGAUUAGCUAGUUGGUGAGGUAAAGGCUCACCAAGGCGACGAUCCAUAGCUGGUCUGAGAGGAUGAUCAGCCACACUGGGACUGAGACACGGCCCAGACUCCUACGGGAGGCAGCAGUGGGGAAUAUUGGACAAUGGGGGCAACCCUGAUCCAGCCAUGCCGCGUGAGUGAUGAAGGCCCUAGGGUUGUAAAGCUCUUUCACCGGUGAAGAUAAUGACGGUAGCCGGAGAAGAAGUCCCGGCAAACUCA